GCGGCGGCGAAGGGGUAGGGGCUUGGGGAGCUAGGGGGCUGAUCGACAGCGACGUUCACCAAUGGGUGCUCUCUUUUGGCCCAGCCUCGGACUGGGGCAGAGAGAUCAUGUAGAAAGGAGAGAAAGUGAGAAAGGGAAUUUGUCAGAAUUUUCAUUUUGCUGACAGUGAAUUUCUGAGUCUUAAAAGAGUGCAAGAAUGGUUUAUCAUCCAAGGCUCACAGUCAGCCAGAAACAUAUUCCAAUGAGCCAUGGACAUGGAGGAUUUUUUAAGGUAUAUUUAUUUAUAUAUUACUUAAAAUCUUUCCUUA
RNAcentral lists this long non-coding RNA (308 nucleotides) under Notechis scutatus (mainland tiger snake). RNAcentral's name for it is "lncRNA (ENSNSUG00000013144.1)". Lineage: Eukaryota; Metazoa; Chordata; Lepidosauria; Squamata; Elapidae. The record is from RNAcentral.